Molecule: long non-coding RNA, 1947 nt
Organism: Nyctereutes procyonoides (raccoon dog)
Lineage: Eukaryota; Metazoa; Chordata; Mammalia; Carnivora; Canidae
Exons: 2
Source: RefSeq, a predicted model, not a curated record
CCGGAAAGUGCCGAGGAGCUUUCGGAACCUGCGCGGGGCAUCCGCCUGUUUUGUAUCCUGUCCCGGGACCAACUUGAAGCUUGAAUGUAAGGCCCCCGGGACCGGGCUGUCUGCUCGUAGUGAACCGGCUGAUGGAGCCGUUUCUGUGGAGAGGCGCGGAAGGGGACACCGCCUGAAUUUGCAGAUCCUCUCACACACCUUACACACCAAAUAGCUCCCAUCUUCACCCACCAGUCGCCACUCCCUAAGGGCAGUGAAAAAUGGGAAAGAAGCCCUUAAAUAAGUGAACACAAGGAAAGGACAAGUCACGGCUCCACUCUAUUCGGUUUUGGCUUCUGUCGUUUAUGGUGGGCUUUCAGAGGCCACGGAGGUUCUCGCGUCUACCUCCUUUUCUGAACUUGCUCGGGUCGCCUCUAAAGUAUCUACGGCGUUCUGACCGUUUUCGAUCCAUUUUGAUACUUAUGGUUUCCCUUUUUGAGUCAAAAUCUUAUUUAAUUACUGUUCACAUUCUCUAUUUGAAAGUUCAAAUAGUUGGAUUGUUUUGUUUAUUAUUAUUUUUUUGUUUUUUAAUGAGACGAGUUGUAAAUAACCAGAUAACAUAUUUGGGUGAAUUAUUUUCGUUUCUUAGGCACCUAGACUGAGAUAAUGAAGAGCAUACUUGGUGCCACAGGUGCCUUCUGAGACAUCUAGGAUUAUUACCUCAGUAUGUAGCCAGUGGUCAAGUAGAAAAGUGGUUGGUUGCAGCUUUCUUCCUAAAUUAUAAUUUUUUUUAAAGGUUUAUUCGUUCAUGGGCAGCCUGGGUGGCUCAGCGGUUUAGUGCUGACGUCGGCCGAGGGCGUGACCCUGGAAACCCGGGAUCCGGUCCCACGUCGGGCUUCCUCCGGGGAGCCUGCUCACUCGCUCUGCCUGUGUCUCUGCCUCUUUCUCUCAGUCUGUGUAUCUCAUGAAUAAAUAGAUCUUUUUUUUUUUUUCCAAAGAUUUUACUUAUUUAUUCAUGAGAGUGUGUACACAGAAAGAGGCAGAGACAGGCAGAGGGAGUGAGCAGGCCCCCUGCAGGAAGCCCGAUGCGGACUCUCGAUCCCGGGUUCCAGGAUCACGACCUGAGCUGAAGGCAGGCGCCCCACCGCUGAGCCACCCAGGCGUCCCCUAAAUUAUAAUUUUAAGUUGAUUUUACCUUUUUUUUUAAAUACCUAUCCAACUUGCAGUUCAUCAUUUUUAAUAUAUAAAGGCUACAGAAAGAGUUGUUCCUUUAUUGAAAGGUAUAAUAUAGAAGUGUAAGGGAAAAAGCAAGGCUAAUUUCAGAGAUCUCUUCUUUUUGAAGAGAGAGAAAACUAGAAUCCAGUCCUGGGAUUGAAUGCCUUUAUUAAAGAAAUGAGUGGAUGGCAGCACAAAUCAGCGGCAAUAAUUUUGGAAUGAGGGGACAAGGUGUAAGGUCAUAAUGUGAUUGUUUCAUGGUCUCAAAGCUGAAGAACUGUGCCUGAGGCUCAUUGAUCAGUAUCAUACAUUGCAGAUGCUGGGCAAGACUAGAAUACUAAAGAAUACUAAACUCUGCCUUUUAGAAACAGAAUCAAAACCUAACAAGUUAUCGUAGUCAGAAAGAUUGCGUCUUAAGAAGUGAACUUGGAGUCAUUUUCCUCAAGAGUUUUGAGUUAUGGGCAAAAUUACAAAGUGAGUAGGCUUGAAGAAGGUACAACCUUAAAUUAAGUUUGAGCAAUUUCUAAAGCUGUUUAAAAUGAAGUAAAAAAAAAAAUCCUCCAUUUUGUACUACUGUGCUACGCUCUGGUGCCUCCACCAGGCCUGUUUUCUGAAUUAACAUCUGGGGGAGGGGGGGAAAUCCCUGUGAUCCAAUCAAUACUCCAGUCCUUGAACCCUUUCCUUUGUGGCUUAAGGGCUCUUAAGAGAAACCAGUAAGAUAAAUAAAUACAUAAGUAAAUAAAUACAACACAA